RNAcentral lists this ribosomal RNA (468 nucleotides) under uncultured bacterium. Its description in RNAcentral is "partial 16S ribosomal RNA". It matches the Rfam family "Bacterial small subunit ribosomal RNA", at positions 28 to 507 of the family's 1533-position model. The record is from RNAcentral.
GACGAACGCUGGCGGCGUGCUUAACACAUGCAAGUCGAACGGAAAGGCCCUGCUUUUGUGGGGUGCUCGAGUGGCGAACGGGUGAGUAACACGUGAGUAACCUGCCCUUGACUUUGGGAUAACUUCAGGAAACUGGGGCUAAUACCGGAUAGGAGCUCCUGCUGCAUGGUGGGGGUUGGAAGGUUUCGGCGGUUGGGGAUGGACUCGCGGCUUAUCAGCUUGUUGGUGGGGUAGUGGCUUACCAAGGCUUUGACGGGUGGCCGGCCUGAGAGGGUGACUGGCCACAUUGGGACUGAGAUACGGCCCAGACUCCUACGGGAGGCAGCAGUGGGGAAUAUUGCACAAUGGGCGGAAGCCUGAUGCAGCAACGCCGCGUGCGGGAUGACGGCCUUCGGGUUGUAAACCGCUUUCGCCUGUGACGAAGCGUGAGUGACGGUAAUGGGUAAAGAAGCACCGGCUAACUACGUG